CAGCCGCCGCGGUAAUACGGAGGGUGCAAGCGUUAAUCGGAAUUACUGGGCGUAAAGCGCACGCAGGCGGUCUGUUAAGUCAGAUGUGAAAUCCCCGGGCUCAACCCGGGAACUGCAUUUGAAACUGGCAGGCUUGAGUCUUGUAGAGGGGGGUAGAAUUCCAGGUGUAGCGGUGAAAUGCGUAGAGAUCUGGAGGAAUACCGGUGGCGAAGGCGGCCCCCUGGACAAAGACUGACGCUCAGGUGCGAAAGCGUGGGGAGCAAACAGGAUUAGAUACCCCAGUAGUCCCUGUCUCUUAUAC
Molecule: ribosomal RNA, 301 nt
Filed under: uncultured bacterium
Lineage: Bacteria
Description: partial 16S ribosomal RNA
Rfam family: Bacterial small subunit ribosomal RNA
Source: RNAcentral